GGCUCGGUAGCUAAGUUUGAAAAGCACUUGUCUGUUGAGUAAGGGUCGUGAGUUCGAAUAUCACCUGAGCUG
Molecule: non-coding RNA, 72 nt
Organism: Aedes albopictus (Asian tiger mosquito)
Lineage: Eukaryota; Metazoa; Arthropoda; Insecta; Diptera; Culicidae
Source: Rfam